GUAAAGCGUGCGUAGGUGGCCAAUUAAGUCAAAUGUGAAAUCCCCGAGCUUAACUUGGGAAUUGCAUUCGAUACUGGUUGGCUAGAGUAUGGGAGAGGAUGGUAGAAUUCCAGGUGUAGCGGUGAAAUGCGUAGAGAUCUGGAGGAAUACCGAUGGCGAAGGCAGCCAUCUGGCCUAAUACUGACACUGAGGUACGAAAGCAUGGGGAGCAAACAGGAUUAGAUACCCUGGUAGUCCAUGCCGUAAACGAUGUCUACUAGCCGUUGGGGUCUUUGAGACUUUAGUGGCGCAGCUAACGCGAUAAGUAGACCGCCUGGGGAGUACGGUCGCAAGACUAAGACUCAAAUGAAUUGACGGGGGCCCGCACAAGCGGUGGAGCAUGUGGUUUAAUUCGAUGCAACGCGAAGAACCUUACCUGGUCUUGACAUAGUAAGAACUUUCCAGAGAUGGAUUGGUGCCUUCGGGAGCUUACAUACAGGUGCUGCAUGGCUGUCGUCAGCUCGUGUCGUGAGAUGUUGGGUUAAGUCCCGCAACGAGCGCAACCCUUUUCCUUAUUUGCCAGCGGGUUAAGCCGGGAACUUUAAGGAUACUGCCAGUGACAAACUGGAGGAAGGCGGGGACGACGUCAAGUCAUCAUGGCCCUUACGACCAGGGCUACACACGUGCUACAAUGGUCGGUACAAAGGGUUGCUACCUAGCGAUAGGAUGCUAAUCUCAAAAAGCCGAUCGUAGUCCGGAUUGGAGUCUGCAACUCGACUCCAUGAAGUCGGAAUCGCUAGUAAU
RNAcentral lists this ribosomal RNA (783 nucleotides) under uncultured bacterium. RNAcentral's name for it is "bacterial SSU rRNA". It matches the Rfam family "Bacterial small subunit ribosomal RNA", at positions 560 to 1342 of the family's 1533-position model. The record is from RNAcentral.